This 933-nucleotide long non-coding RNA is filed under the name Chrysemys picta bellii (western painted turtle). RNAcentral describes it as "lncRNA (ENSCPBG00000027815.1)". The record is from RNAcentral. Lineage: Eukaryota; Metazoa; Chordata; Testudines; Emydidae.
AUGCUAGUGAAAGACUCUCGAUCUGCCAGGAUUCUUUCUGGAUACUUAACCAUGAAUUUUACGUCUCUGCAGCAGCUAACUUCAGCCCAAAAUAUCCCUGGGCAGGCUGAAGGAAUUAAAACCAGUCGAUAUUUCAUGGGCUCAUUCCAGCUGGUGAAUGAAAUCUACUAUUCCCGUCACAGCAACUCUGCUUCGGACACAUUCAAGAGGGAGGCUGCGAAGCUGGAGAACGUGGGCUUUGUCGGUAAAUAAAAGGCUAAUAAGAGGCAGGAAAAGUCCAAGUCUCAACUUCGUUUCCCAAAGACACUGAUCCUUCUCACAGUGCUGCUGGGAGGAGCAUCAGCAGAAAUCCCCCGUUAUGUACCUGUUCAUAGCGUCUGAUCUGGCAAGGAUCGAAGGUAAGAGACAGGUUUCUAGAUGGGGUAACUCAGGCCCCUAGAAGGGACAGGGGAGAUAAAGCCAAACAUUGGAUUCUCCACUGAACGUAGGUGGGCUCAGGUGACCAGGUCUCUGACACCUCGUGUGUCAAGCCAUGAGGUGGGGUCCGGACAGAACUUCCCUGCUGGCGUGUCACAGAAUUAGGUGCCUCGUGUGUGUUUUACAUCUUCCCCUCCGGCACCCAAAGCUGGCCGCUGUCAGAGAGCAGACCUGAGUCCGAGCACCCCUCGAAAGCGGGGAGGUUUGGAUCCAGUUUGGACCCAUCACUAAAGACAGGGAUAAGGACCCUUCCGCCGCCCCCUCCCCCAUGGGGGGUUGUGAGGCUCAGCUCCGCUGUGUUUGUAGACGGGAUUGCAGGCCCGGCGGAGGCACCGAGCAGGAUUAAUUUCUUGAAUGGGUGUCAAGUUCUCUAUGAGCUUAGUUCUGCAACCAGCAUAGGUGAUGCCUGCAAGUGACAGUAAUAAACAGGGAUGCUGGAAAAUGGGUCUGAAAUGA